Small nuclear RNA from Malaya genurostris, 146 nucleotides. RefSeq annotates it as U4 spliceosomal RNA. The record is from RefSeq and is a predicted model, not a curated record. Lineage: Eukaryota; Metazoa; Arthropoda; Insecta; Diptera; Culicidae. The transcript has a single exon.
AGCUUUGAGCAAUGGCGAUAUCGUAACCAAUGACGUUCAAUCGAGGUGCGAUUAUUGCUAGUUGAAAACAAAUUAAGAUGCCAAAAACGUAAAAAUAAAUGAAAUUGGACUCAAAAUUCUUUUAAAACCAGUCCUCAGAUUGCGGU